GGACGACGCUGGCGGCGUGCUUAACACAUGCAAGUCGAACGAGGUCCACUGCGUAGCAAUACAAGGGAAGACCUAGUGGCGAACGGGUGCGUAACACGUGAGGAACUUGUCCCGGUCUCUGGGGUAACAGUUGGAAACGACUGCUAAUACCGGAUGACGUCGGAAUCUCGCAUGGGAUACUGACGAAAGGGUUACUGGAUCGGGAGAGCCUCGCGGCCUAUCAGCUUGUUGGUGAGGUAACGGCUCACCAAGGCAUCGACGGGUAGCUGGUCUGAGAGGAUGAUCAGCCACACUGGGACUGAGACACAGCCCAGACUCCUACGGGAGGCAGCAGUGGGGAAUCUUGCGCAAUGGGCGAAAGCCUGACGCAGCAACGCCGCGUGCGGGAAGAAGGCCCUCGGGUUGUAAACCGCUUUCAGUAGGAACGAAAAUGACGGUACCUGCAGAAGAAGGUGCGGCCAACUACGUG
This 469-nucleotide ribosomal RNA is filed under the name uncultured bacterium. RNAcentral describes it as "bacterial SSU rRNA". It matches the Rfam family "Bacterial small subunit ribosomal RNA", at positions 33 to 507 of the family's 1533-position model. The record is from RNAcentral.